AGAAUCAACGCUGGCGGCGUGCCUAACACAUGCAAGUCGCACGAGAAAGGGGAGCAAUCCCUGAGUACAGUGGCGCACGGGUGAGUAACACGUGAAUAAUCUACCUCCGAGUGGGGAAUAACUGAGAGAAAUCUUAGCUAAUACCGCAUAACACUUACGAGUCAAAGCAGCAAUGCGCUUGGAGAGGAGUUCGCGGCCGAUUAGUUAGUUGGCGGGGUAAUGGCCCACCAAGACGAUGAUCGGUAUCCGGCCUGAGAGGGCGCACGGACACACUGGAACUGAAACACGGUCCAGACUCCUACGGGAGGCAGCAGUGGGGAAUUUUGCGCAAUGGGGGAAACCCUGACGCAGCAACGCCGCGUGGAGGAUGAAAUAUCUUGGUAUGUAAACUCCUUUCGAUGGGGAAGAUUAUGACGGUACCCAUAGAAGAAGCCCCGGCUAACUUCGCGCCAGCAGCCGC
Molecule: ribosomal RNA, 460 nt
Filed under: uncultured bacterium
Lineage: Bacteria
Description: SSU rRNA
Rfam family: Bacterial small subunit ribosomal RNA
Source: RNAcentral